Molecule: ribosomal RNA, 392 nt
Filed under: uncultured bacterium
Lineage: Bacteria
Description: partial 16S ribosomal RNA
Rfam family: Bacterial small subunit ribosomal RNA
Source: RNAcentral
AUACGGAGGAUGCGAGCGUUAUCCGGAUUUAUUGGGUUUAAAGGGAGCGUAGGCGGGAGCUUAAGUCAGCGGUUAAAUGGUGCGGCUCAACCGUGCCCUGCCGUUGAAACUGGGGUUCUUGAGAGUGCAAGAGGCGGAUGGGAUUCAUGGUGUUGCGGUGGAAUGCUUAGAUAUCAUGAAGAACUCCGAUUGCGAAGGCAGUCCGCUGGGGCACGUCUGACGCUGAUACUCGAAGGUGCGGGAAUCAAACAGGAUUAGAUACCCUGGUAGUCCGCACGGUAAACGAUGAUUACCCGCUGUCGGCGGUAGACAGUCGGCGGCCAAGCGAAAGCGAUAAGUAAUCCACCUGGGGAGUACGCCGGCAACGGUGAAACUCAAAGGAAUUGACGGGG